UGCAAACCUUGGUAUCUUUGUAACUACAUAAUCAAUGGAUGGCUCAAAACUAGCUGGAGUCUUCUUUGUGAUAUCAUUAGGUAUCUGGUCCAGGGAGUAUCCCACUGAUAGCUUAGCAGCCAUCUUAGCUAUUGGAAAGCCAGUUGCUUUUGAGGCUAAAGCUGAAGACCUUGAAACUCUAGGAUUCAUUUCAAUUACCAUGACUUCACCAUCAACUGGAUUUACAGCAAAUUGCACAUUGGAACCACCACAUUCAACUCCAAUUUCCCUGAUGAUGGCAAUAGAAUAAUCUCUAAGUCGUUGGUACUCUUUAUCUGUCAAAGUUUGAGCAGGAGCCACUGUGAUCGAGUCCCCUGUAUGGACCCCCAUAGGAUCAAUAUUUUCAAUAGAACAGAUGAUAACCACAUUGUCAGCCAAGUCUCUCAUAACCUCAAGCUCAUAUUCUUUCCAACCUAACAAAGACUUCUCAACCAAAACCUGUGAUGUCAAACUAGCUGCUAACCCGGACUUACAUAUAGCCUCAAAUUCCUCUCUGUUAUAAGCAAUUCCACCACCAGUCCCACCCAAUGUAAAAGCUGGCCUAAUAAUCAAUGGGAACUCCCCAAUGUUAUUAGCUAUCUCAAAACACUCCUCCAAUGUGUUCCCAAUGCCCGAAGGUGGCGUCUUUAUCCCAAUAUUCUUCAUUGCCUGCUUAAACAAAUCUCUAUCCUCUGCCUUUUUAAUUGCAUCAAGCUUCGCCCCAAUCAACUCGACUCCAUACUUAUCAAGCACGCCACUCUCUGCCAAUGCUACAGCUAAAUUAAGAGCAGUUUGCCCACCCAUCGUUGGCAACAAGGCAUCAGGCCUCUCGUUCUCUAACACUUGCUCCACAAGGUCUGGUGUCAUAGGCUCGAUAUAAGUCCUGUCCGCCGUUUCUGGGUCGGUCAUAAUAGUUGCAGGAUUUGAAUUAAUCAAUAUCACCUCAUACCCUUCUUCCCUAAGAGCCUUACAAGCUUGAGUUCCUGAGUAAUCAAACUCACACGCUUGUCCUAUCACUAUUGGCCCAGCACCCAGUAUCAAAAUCUUCUUUAUAUCUGUUCUUUUCCCCAGUUUGUCCGUCCCAAGAAACCCCUUUUGAACAGUAUCAUCAUUGAUUUGCUCAUUUACAAUCGAAUGCACCCUUUUCUGCAAAUGGGUGUUACUGAAAACAUAUGGCCGAGAUUGGAGGUGCAAAAAUGAGGACUUUUUGUAAGUAGAGUGGGGGAACCAUGGGAAAAGCUGAGUUCUUGAUGAAUAUAUUCUGGAAGACGGAAGAACAUAGGAAGAAGAAGAUGAGAUGAGCCUAUAUGCAGCAUUUUCACAGCGAUUCAUGCAGUAAUCCAUCUUGAUAAACAACUUUUCAAAAGAACUGAAGAAAAUCGUCUCUGGAUUUUACAGAUUCGGCGAACGCUUUUUCUGGUUUUUGGCAGAGUAGAACAGGGGAGCUUUUUAGUAGAGUGAAGGAUAGAUGGUGGGUUCAACUGGUGCUAGGGUUUUCCGGUGCAUAUAGUA
Molecule: unclassified non-coding RNA, 1530 nt
Filed under: Hevea brasiliensis (rubber tree)
Lineage: Eukaryota; Viridiplantae; Streptophyta; Magnoliopsida; Malpighiales; Euphorbiaceae
Source: RNAcentral